AUGGAGGAGAAAAUGGCCAGCAGGAGCAAAGGGCUUCACGAGAUGGAGGAGAAAAUGGCCAGCAGGAGCAAAGGGCUUCACGCCAUGGCUGGGGAAACCGUGAAGGAGGACAUACUCCUCCUGCUCGACGACAUCCACGGCUUCUACAAGGCGGCGCUCGAUAGGUUGCCUGUACGGAGGACCCCCGCACUGGCUCCCUGCCUUCUCAAGGCCGGCGUGUGCUUCGGAUUCCUCGACCCAGUCUCCAAUAUCAUCCUCAACACCAUCGCCUACUCGCAGCGGAUGCCCAGCACCGAGAGUCAAGAAGGGGCUACUAGAAAAUUGAUCUUCUCCAAGAUCUCCACUGACACUCAGGAUCGCAGAAUUUUCCGGAUACUGCUGCCCAGACACAUGGCGAACGCCAUGACCAUCGCGCGGCUGUCGCUGGAAGGUCUGGUCAGCUUCCUCCUGUUCCACUUCCGCUACCUCGCGGAGACGGAAGCCCUGCGCUACCUGCGCCUGGCCAGGGCCGACCUUCUCGCCGCCGUGCAUCUCAUCAAUCGAGAUCGUGACAAGUCGUGCUUGGCGUCUAGCAUUGCCAAGAUUCACAACAGGCCCGCGUUCGACAUCUCAUCUCCUACCUCCAAGAUCGCCCUGGAGUGUGCCGCUGCCUCUGCGAGGCACCCUGAACCAGCCAUCCUGGUGAACGCGUCGCUGUCGGUGGUGUCUCGGCUGAGCAAGGUCUCUAACCUUUUGCAGAUCCACCUGCUCUACCUAGAGGCACUUUCUAAGCUGCCUAGGGAUAGCUUGCGCAAACAUCACCAUUGCAACCUUCUCAGGGCUGGUUAUUGCUAUGGUCUGAUGGAACCUGUCUCCAACAUCAUUUUCAACACCAUCUGGUAUGACUCUGUAAUCUCCACGCAGCAUGAGUAUGCGCUUGAUUUUGAGGUGGACAUGAUAUGCACCAAUGCCCUUAUGCGAAUUGAGUGCUGCUCCCUCUAUGGCCUUAUUGCCUUCCUCCGCCGCCUCUUCCGCCAUCUGACUGAGCAUGAUGCCAUCUGGUUCCUGCUCAAGAGCAAUGCUGAUGUUUGGUCAGCCAUCGACAUAGCAGAGCAACAUGGUCAUCAUAUGUCUGAUGUGUACCUCAAUGCCUUUAGGGAAGCAGCUGUUAAUUCAUGGCACCCUCACCCUAAAGCGCUGGAGAAAUUCAUCCUGGAAGCCCUGAACAUGAAUUCGACUGAGCUGUCAUUGAUGCUGACCCAUGCAGUCAAGAACUGCAGAUUUGAGGGACUAACCAUGUCUUUGUCACCCAAAUCUUCACCUACCAAGUCAGAUGAGCAGGUUCAACAACUGGACAAGUUGGCCUCGAGUUCGGAGUUCUUAUCUGAAAACCAAAAAAUGUUCAUUUCAGAGAUUCAGAAAAAAUUUAAGGCUGACCAAAAUUUCUAUGUCAGGAAGGUCAAAGCUGCGUUGAAGAGCUACUCCCAGAAACAAGGGGUGCACUACGAACUUCAUGUUAUUUGUGGUGUGAAUCCUCGUGCGGUCAAGGGUGGAACUGCUGAUCUUUUUAAGAAAAAGGGCAAAUUUGAAUACUCCCACAUCAACUUUUGGGCAACACGUGAGGGAUCAAAUUCUGCUGCCACAGAUCCAGUACUGUUCUUCGCUGAAUGCAGCAAUGAUGAUGAAGAUGACAAGGAAACACCUCCCCUGUGCGUCCCAGUAUUUAGUUCUUGGAUAUCUGAUGGGGAAGCUGAAGCUAGUGAAGGAGUGAUGUCGUCCAAGACCCCAUCGACGGCGGCCAAGAGCGGCGGCGCGGGCACCAGCAACAGAAACAGUCUCAGCCGCGUGAUUCGGCCGGAGAGUCGUUUCAUCCCCUACAGAGCGGAGCAAAUCGAGGAGAGGACGCGGCUCCUCUCCAUGAUUGACACCUUCUACAGAGAGGCGUGCGACAUGCUCGUUGUGGAAGCGACGCCCGCCACCCGCGGCCGCUUCCUCGACGCCGGCGUCUGCAUCGGCCUCCUCGACCCCAACACCCUCGUCACCUCCGACCUCCACCCCGGCCUCAUGGACAACGUCUCGGAGGAUACCAAGCCGGGAGAGAUGGCCAAGCGCUCACUCGAUGGCCUCGUGGCCUUCCUGAUCUACUUCUUCUCGUACCUCGCCGGGUGGGAGGCCGUGCGAUACCUGCUGGUCGCCGACGCCGACCUCCUCGUCGCUGCGCGCCUGAUAGUGGCGGACCGCGGCAUGAUGGGGUUCUCGGUCAUGUCACUGGCAUCAGUGGCAGCCUUCGAGGCGGCCCUCAGGUUGGCUGCGCAGGUCGCCAAGCACUCUCAGCCGGAACGCCUCGUCAGUGUUUGGAUGUCGCUGUCCUCCCAACUGCAACAGGUCCUCAGUUUCCUCUCGGUGAUGCAGACACAGACACAGGGUAUGAACAUCCAAAUGUUGCUUGGUGGACGGUCGCUUCCCGACCCGGGGAAAGCUUGGAACCUUGCAGCUUCUCGGCCACCUCACAGCAACAUUGCCGAUAUGCCAUACGAAGCCACCCGGUCUCUGAGGAUGGCGCUUCUCGACACAAUUCGCAUCUUCUACCUGCGAGCCCUGGCAAGGCUGCCGCGUGCAGAGCUGCGCACUCGCUACCACCGCAGCAUGCUCAUGGCCGGUUACUGCUACGGCCCCUUCGACCCCGUCUCCAACAUCAUUGUCAACAUGAUAUGGUACGAUGUCAUGUUCGCAGCACCCCAUCCACCGGUGUUGGACAUGAUCGGCCCCAAAAGCCUUACCCGAUUGGAGAGCCGCUCCUUUUAUGGUCUUGCCUCAUUCCUCCAAACCCGCUACCACGAUUUGUCGGAGCACCAACUGGUGCAAUGCCUAGUUGCCUCCUGUGCUCACCUGUCCGUGGCUGAUCCAAACUUUGAUGUGGCGUUUGCUUACCAUCCUUUUGUUGAUCCCAACAUUAGUGCUGCUGCAUCUGCUGGUGCUAAGAUGGAGGCGAUACGCCGGCAACAAGAAUGCAGGACCAGCGCACCAGGCAUCUAUGAUGCUGUCAGCAAGAUGGAGAAACAAAGGCCGUGCUCAAGUGCCAAGGAAGCCUACGAGGCUGCAGCCACCGCAGCAUGGCACCCCAACCCUGAGGCUCAUGCAGCAUUUCUCAGUUCAGUCGACGUGAUGCUGAACGGACCUGCCUUCCUCCUGCUGCAGAACGGUGACCAACUCACUUCCGAAAACGUGCAGUUCAUCGCCAGCUUAUUGUCUUCCAAUCAAAAACCUACUCCUGAACAAAUUAAAAAGAGGUACCGUGUUCCCGCAUUGGAGGCAAAGAUGCGUUCCGAGGCUAAACAAAGAAGAAUCGCCAAAAAGGAACCCAUGUAUGAUCUUCAUAUUAUCUGUGGUGCAAAUGAAUCCAUAGGCAGCCCUGAGUACUGCGCCGAUGUCCUGGAUGAUCUCCUGUCUUCUUCCCCAUGCAAAUUCCGUUACUCGCAUGUAAAUUUUUUGGUGACCCAGAAGGAUUCUUCAUCUGCAGAAAGAUAUCCCUUACUCUUUUUUGCUGAAUUCGAUAAUGAGGAGGAGGGUGAGCCCCUAUGCUGUCUUGUCGAUGUGCCAACGCCAUUUGCAGAACAUGUUCGGUGCCUGUAUUGUGAGGCUCAAGGGACCAAAAUUGUGCAUCCGGCAUUGGAAAAAUUUCAUGGGAAAGAAAGGGAGUUGGAGAGGGAGUUUGAGGAGGCUAUCUCUAAAGACCGUCAUGACCGGCUUAUCUGCACGAAUGAAUAUGCUGUUCAGCACUUGUGUGGAGUGGAGGAGGAUUUCAUGUACAUUGAUAUCAGGUGCAUCAGUUAG
Molecule: ribosomal RNA, 3813 nt
Filed under: Triticum aestivum (bread wheat)
Lineage: Eukaryota; Viridiplantae; Streptophyta; Magnoliopsida; Poales; Poaceae
Description: partial small subunit ribosomal RNA
Source: RNAcentral